AUACGGGGGAUGCAAGCGUUAUUCGGAAUCAUUGGGCGUAAAGGGCACGCAGGCGGUUCUGUCAGUCAGAUGUGAAAGCCCGGGGCUUAACCCCGGACGUGCAUUUGAAACAGCAGGACUUGAGUAUGGUAGAGGAAAGCGGAAUUCCUGGUGUAGAGGUGAAAUUCGUAGAUAUCAGGAGGAACACCGGUGGCGAAGGCGGCUUUCUGGACCAAAACUGACGCUGAGGUGCGAAGGCGUGGGGAGCAAACAGGAUUAGAAACCCUAGUAGUCC
RNAcentral lists this ribosomal RNA (274 nucleotides) under uncultured bacterium. RNAcentral's name for it is "partial 16S ribosomal RNA". It matches the Rfam family "Bacterial small subunit ribosomal RNA", at positions 523 to 796 of the family's 1533-position model. The record is from RNAcentral.